RNAcentral lists this long non-coding RNA (720 nucleotides) under Androctonus crassicauda. The record is from RNAcentral. Lineage: Eukaryota; Metazoa; Arthropoda; Arachnida; Scorpiones; Buthidae.
GGGGGUCUUAAUGAUAAUACCCUCGCACCUUUUAGGAAGUCCAAUAGUUUUUAUGUUUUAGAAUCUUCUUAACUUCUAAUCCAAAAACAGCACUGCUGCGGUCAGCAAAUAUGUUUAUUUUUCUUCAAACGUUUUCGACGCUAUAUAUUGCGUCCUCUUCAGGAAUAAAAUACAGAAGAAACGAACAUUUUAACGAACAUAAUAUAGAACGGAACAAUUUAAAUAUGGGGUUACCAUAACAACCUUAAUGAUUAAAUACGGGGUUACCAUAACAACCUUAAUGAUUAAAUACGGGGUUACCAUAACAACCUUAAUAGUCGCAGGAAUACACAAUUAUUAUAAACUUUUACAAGUUAUUCUAUUAACAUUGGUAGGAGUCUCUACUAAAUUCUAUAAAGAUCGUAAAUCCGUGCUACCGUGACUCAUUUUUUCUUUAACGCAUUAUAUCCAUGGAAUGGGCGGCUCCCACGCUAGCUUAUUAUUAACAAGCUUCUCGCUUUCCGAUCUUUUCAAAAUCUCUAAAGCUUCCGGUAUAGUUGGAUGCUCUUGCUUUUUUAACGGCCUAACACAAUCAACUUCAUUCCAUUUGAUGGUGACAUUGCCUUCGUACGCUCGACAUGCUAAGGCUGUACUUAGGUUAGCUUCCCUGAUAUCUCUCCUGUGCUCGUCCAUGCGUCUCUCUAUGGUCCUCGUCGUAACACCUAUGUACGCUAACUCCUC